GAUGAACGCUGGCGGCGUGCUUAACACAUGCAAGUCGAACGAUGAAGCUCAGCUUGCUGGGUGGAUUAGUGGCGAACGGGUGAGUAACACGUGAGUAACCUGCCCUUAACUCUGGGAUAAGCCUGGGAAACUAGGUCUAAUACCGGAUAGGAGCGCCUACCGCAUGGUGGGUGUUGGAAAGAUUUAUCGGUUUUGGAUGGACUCGCGGCCUAUCAGCUUGUUUGUGAGGUAAUGGCUCACCAAGGCGACGACGGGUAGCCGGCCUGAGAGGGUGACCGGCCACACUGGGACUGAGACACGGCCAAGACUCCUACGGGAGGCAGCAGUGGGGAAUAUUGCACAAUGGGCGAAAGCCUGAUGCAGCGACGCCGCGUGAGGGAUGACGGCCUUCGGGUUGUAAACCUCUUUCAGUAGGGAAGAAGCGAAAGUGACGGUACCUGCAGAAGAAGCACCGGCUAAGUACGUG
Molecule: ribosomal RNA, 466 nt
Filed under: uncultured bacterium
Lineage: Bacteria
Description: partial 16S ribosomal RNA
Rfam family: Bacterial small subunit ribosomal RNA
Source: RNAcentral